RNAcentral lists this ribosomal RNA (492 nucleotides) under uncultured bacterium. Its description in RNAcentral is "partial 16S ribosomal RNA". It matches the Rfam family "Bacterial small subunit ribosomal RNA", at positions 29 to 507 of the family's 1533-position model. The record is from RNAcentral.
AGUGAACGCUGGCGGUAGGCCUAACACAUGCAAGUCGAACGGCAGCACAGUAAGAGCUUGCUCUUACGGGUGGCGAGUGGCGGACGGUUGAGGAAUACAUCGGAAUCUACUUUUUCGUGGGUGAUAACGUAGGGAAACUUACGCUAAUACCGCAUACUACCUACGGGUGAAAGCAGGGGAUCUUCUGACCUUGCGCGAUUGAAUGAGCCGAUGUCGGAUUAGCUAGUUGGCGGGGUAAAGGCCCACCAAGGCGACGAUCCGUAGCUGGUCUGAGAGGAUGAUCAGCCACACUGGAACUGAGACACGGUCCAGACUCCUACGGGAGGCAGCAGUGGGGAAUAUUGGAAAAUGGGCGCAAGACUGAUCCAGCCAUACCGCGUGGGUGAAGAAGGCCUUCGGGUUGUAAAGCCCUUUUGUUGGGAAAGAAAAGCAGCAGGUUAAUACCCCGCUGUUCUGACGGUACCCAAAGAAUAAGCACCGGCUAACUUCGUG